CUGCAACCCGCCUGCGUGAAGUUGGAAUCGCUAGUAAUCGCGGAUCAGCAUGCCGCGGUGAAUACGUUCCCGGGCCUUGUACACACCGCCCGUCACACCAUGAGAGUCGGGAACACCCGAAGUCCGUAGCCUAACCGCAAGGAGGGCGCGGCCGAAGGUGGGUUCGAUAAUUGGGGUGAAGUCGUAACAAGGUAGC
This 196-nucleotide ribosomal RNA is filed under the name uncultured bacterium. Its description in RNAcentral is "partial 16S ribosomal RNA". It matches the Rfam family "Bacterial small subunit ribosomal RNA", at positions 1305 to 1500 of the family's 1533-position model. The record is from RNAcentral.